UGAGCAAUAUGCCCUUCUCAUCGGAAUAAGCGUUGGAAACGACGUCUAAUGCCGAAUACGACCUCCUUUCACAUGAUCGGAGGUGGAAAGCUCCGGCGGAGAAGGAUGAGCUCGCGGCCUAUCAGCUAGUUGGUGUGGGUAACGGCCCACCAAGGCGACGACGGGUAGCCGGCCUGAGAGGGUGACCGGCCACACUGGGACUGAGACACGGCCCAGACUCCUACGGGAGGNAG
This 233-nucleotide ribosomal RNA is filed under the name uncultured bacterium. RNAcentral describes it as "partial 16S ribosomal RNA". It matches the Rfam family "Bacterial small subunit ribosomal RNA", at positions 118 to 351 of the family's 1533-position model. The record is from RNAcentral.